This 71-nucleotide non-coding RNA is filed under the name Vaucheria litorea. The record is from RNAcentral. Lineage: Eukaryota; Xanthophyceae; Vaucheriales; Vaucheriaceae.
GUUCUUGUGUUUUUUUUUUCUUUCUUUUCUUUCUCCUUUGUUUUCUCUCGGUUUGAGAAGCGAAUUCCAUC